UAAUUUCUGAGAAAGCAAUGGAAGGGGCACA
Molecule: non-coding RNA, 31 nt
Filed under: Mus musculus (house mouse)
Lineage: Eukaryota; Metazoa; Chordata; Mammalia; Rodentia; Muridae
Also listed under: 1 other name
Source: RNAcentral